AAACUCGGCUUGGUUGCCACUCUUCAGCUGGUUGAAGGGAAGGUUCAAUUCACUGCAUCCCUGGACAGUUUGCAUUUCAAGCUUCUUUCCUCAGCCGUGGGCCCCGUCAAGAUUGUACGUUUUCAUGAGCCCCUGAGAGCUUUCAUCCAGAAAAUUAUACUAAAGGAGAUCAACUUUUAUCUCCACUUAGGAAAAAUCCCAAUAUUUAAAGCACCAGGAUUGAAGCCCAGCAUUGCCCAUUGCCACCCUUCUAAGCGCUGUCUUGUGUGCCAUAACAAGCUCCAUAAAGGGUGAUGUGCCAGGCGAGUGUGGUGCCGACGCCCCUCUGACACUGAGGAGAGAGGAAGAAACAGCGGCACAAAUGAGGAGGUUUAAUUCAUGGGUGGUUUUUUUUUUUUUUUUUUUUUUCCAAAAUUUUGAUUCAGGCUUUUUACUCUGGGGGAAAAAUUGCCCCAUCUGCUAUGGAAUUUCAGUUGAAGAACUGCAGUAGAUCUCAAAAAGAAAAGGAGGAC
Caretta caretta (loggerhead turtle) is the source of this 512-nucleotide long non-coding RNA. RefSeq lists it as uncharacterized. NCBI's taxonomy places the organism in Eukaryota, Metazoa, Chordata, Testudines, Cheloniidae. The record is from RefSeq and is a predicted model, not a curated record.